AUGUUCAGACAUGCACUACAAGCUGUUGCAUUCCUCAGCGAGGAGAAAAUCACCGCCAAAGUGGAGCACUUGAAGACCACGUUCAUGUGGACGGAUGCCGAGGUGGGCAUUGUCGUUUCUAAGGCUCCAACGUUGCUGACGAGGAAUAAGGAAUCGCUGCAGCGCAGGUCCGAGUUCCUCAUCUCUGAGGUGGGGUUGGAACCGGCAUACAUCGCUUAUCGUCCGGCAAUGCUCACUUACAGCUUAGAGGGCCGGAUCAGACCCCGGUACUAUGUCGUAAAGUUUCUCAAGGAAAAUGGAUUGCUCAAGCAUGACCCGAGCUACUUUACUAUUUUCAAGGAGUCCGGGAAGAUGCUGGGUUGA
Molecule: ribosomal RNA, 363 nt
Filed under: Triticum aestivum (bread wheat)
Lineage: Eukaryota; Viridiplantae; Streptophyta; Magnoliopsida; Poales; Poaceae
Description: partial small subunit ribosomal RNA
Source: RNAcentral